This 788-nucleotide ribosomal RNA is filed under the name Phlebia cf. radiata RG-2014. RNAcentral's name for it is "eukaryotic LSU rRNA". The stretch from base 489 to 788 matches the Rfam family "Eukaryotic large subunit ribosomal RNA", at positions 1 to 292 of the family's 3401-position model. Lineage: Eukaryota; Fungi; Basidiomycota; Agaricomycetes; Polyporales; Meruliaceae. The record is from RNAcentral.
CACUCUCAAACCCCUGUGCACUUUUUGUAGGCUUGGUGGGAUAGGCUGACUUCGGUCGGCUUUGAAUGCCUCGCCUAUGUAUUAAAACAAACGCUUCAGUUUAGAAUGUAACCUUGCAUAAUAAGCAAAUAAAUACAACUUUCAGCAACGGAUCUCUUGGCUCUCGCAUCGAUGAAGAACGCAGCGAAAUGCGAUAAGUAAUGUGAAUUGCAGAAUUCAGUGAAUCAUCGAAUCUUUGAACGCACCUUGCGCUCCUUGGUAUUCCGAGGAGCAUGCCUGUUUGAGUGUCAUGGUAUCAUCAACCUUCAACACUUUUGUGUCUGUAGGCUUGGACUUGGAGGUCGUGUCGGCGUUCGCGUCGGCUCCUCUGAAAUGCAUUAGCGUGAAUCUUACGAAUCGCCCUCGGUGUGAUAAUUUCUACGCCGUAGACGUGCAGUAUAUAGUGUUCGUGCUUACAACCGUCUGCAAAGACAACAUCAUUGACAAUCUGACCUCAAAUCAGGUAGGACUACCCGCUGAACUUAAGCAUAUCAAUAAGCGGAGGAAAAGAAACUAACAAGGAUUCCCCUAGUAACUGCGAGUGAAGCGGGAAAAGCUCAAAUUUAAAAUCUGGCGGUCUUCGAUCGUCCGAGUUGUAGUCUGGAGAAGCGUCUUCCGCGCUGGACCGUGUACAAGUCUCUUGGAACAGAGCGUCGUAGAGGGUGAGAAUCUCCGUCUUUGACACGGACUAUCCAGUGCUUUGUGAUGCGCUCUCAAAGAGUCGAGUUGUUUGGGAAUGCAGCUCAAAA